Molecule: microRNA precursor, 56 nt
Organism: Oncorhynchus kisutch (coho salmon)
Lineage: Eukaryota; Metazoa; Chordata; Actinopteri; Salmoniformes; Salmonidae
Gene: MIR128-1
Product: microRNA 128-1
Source: Ensembl
CGGGGCCGGGGCGCUGUCUGAGAGGCCUAUAAUUCUCACAGUGAACCGGUCUCUUU